UAUGUGUGUGUAUAGAUAGAUAGCAACUACACAUUCUUUAUUUUCUCUCCUUGUUUCUUUCUGUGUUCCUUUCUGUGGAAGAGCGUAGACCCGAAAUAUUAAAGACCUCUUCACUUCCCGAGCGCUAAACUAAUACGUCUGUUGUCUA
This is a long non-coding RNA of Octopus sinensis (East Asian common octopus), 148 nucleotides long. RefSeq lists it as uncharacterized. The transcript is spliced from 3 exons. The record is from RefSeq and is a predicted model, not a curated record. NCBI's taxonomy places the organism in Eukaryota, Metazoa, Mollusca, Cephalopoda, Octopoda, Octopodidae.